UUUUGUUUUUUUGCUUGGCUGAGCCUGUGGUAUGGGGAAGUUCCUGGGCCAGGGAUCAAACCUCUACCAUAGCAGUGACCUGGGCUGCUCCUGUGACAAUGCUAGAUCCUUAACCCACUGAGCUAGCAGGGAACUCCCAGAAACAGGAACUUAGAUAAGGGACAAACACUUCACAAAAUGUCGUACUGCCAGCUGCUUUGUUUUAAUGUCCAGUUAGGGUGCACUGACCUGCUUGUCUUUCUCCACUCUCCCUGGGCAGUCUGUGUUCCCCGCCUUCCCACACCUUCCAAACAGGAAGAUCUGUAGAUACUGACAUAGUCAGCCAACCCUCAUCUCACGUCUACAGUGUGAAGGUUUUCCUUUGUUUCUCCUCCUUGCCUGGUUGCUGUACUGUGACGUCCUAAAAGAAAACCACGCUACUUCAGGGACAGAGAGGAAGGAAACGCAGCUCCUGAACACCUCGUGUGGAGCCAGUGGCUUUUCUGCAAGAGAAAAGCUAAGCCUCGGGCUCUUUCUUGACUCUUGGGAUGGAAAAAGGAAGUGGCCACACAAUCAAAACCAAAAAAAAAACCAGCCAAAGAAACAAACAAUAAAAGGGAGUUCCCGUUGUGGCUCAGUGGAAACAAAUCUGACUAGUAACCAUGAGGACCCAGGUUCAAUCCCUGGUAUCGCUCAAUGGGUUAAGGAUCUGGUGUUGCCAUGAGCUGUAGUGCAGGUUGCAGACUUCGGUCAGAUCUGGCAUUGCUGUGGCAUAGGGCAGAAUUACAUGGUCUCCCAGACACUUAGCUUUUAUCUCAACCCUCAAUAGUCUGAAUGCAUCUCAAUAGUCUGUGACGCAAAUGCAAAAUUCUAUGCAAACGUGAGCUAUUAUUAUCACUGUUCUUGUUGUCUGCGAAGGUCUGGUCUGGCUACCUCUCAGAAUUGCAGGGAUUCAUGGGGAAGAGUUAAUCACCCGAGGCUCUCCUCCAAGAAGAGAGGACAACUGUUCCUCCUUUUGAGAAAAACUUCACGUUUCUGCUGGCUCAUCAAAGACAAUGAACACAACCUACAGCCUUUCCCAUAAAGAAUACUGGCGUUUUUAUGAUUUUUAAAAAUCAUGAUGACAUAAUUAAAAAUCAAACAACAACCAGCUGUCAAAAGUAUGCAUUUCCCAACACAACCACAACGUCUUCAGGAAGAUGGCAUUCCUGGGACCAUGACCAUGGAGUCUCUUGAGUGAGUGCUUUAUGGAAUGUGAACGACUCUGACUGUGCUGAGAUGAGCUGUUUUGAUAGACAGAAACCAAAGCUAUCUUCCUUUCAGCAACAUCUACCUUUGUUUUCUAGUUUACAGCAGCUUUUCUCUUUUCAAAGCUUAUCAUUUCAGACUACAGACAAUGGAUACAGCUUAUUGUAUUCUCUGAAAUCUGUUAUUUUAUUUUAUUUUUGGGCCAUGCCCACGGCAUGAAGAAGGAAGGUCCCAGGCCAGAGGUCAAACCUGCACCACAGCAGUGACCUGAGCCAUGGCAGGGACAAUGCCAGAUCUUUAACCACCAGGCCACCAUCCUAAAUGAUCUUUUUCAUUAAGGUAAAUGUUUACAGCCAUGGUUUAUUAUUUUUCCCCUAAAAAUUGUCUUCAUUCACAAUGUAAAAUGGAGAAUCAGAUGAAAUGAAAAAUAAAUGUAUAUAUGAGUUCUAGCACAGGGAAACUUUAUGAAAAAUAUUACCGCAGGAUAACUGGUUCAUGUUUUUGGGUACGUAUGCAUCAGGUAAAGAUUAAACAGGUAAAUAAAGCUUUUCCAUUGAAAAUAUUGACAUACUCUUGUCUUCUGACACACUCAAAAUAACUUUCAUAUGAAUAAAAGUGAGGUAAAUUCUCACCUAUUCUAUAGCUCAGCAUGAUAAUUUUUUAAAGCUAGAGAGAAAGCUGAUAGGUAUUUCUUUAGCCUCACCUCAUUAUAUUUUCAGUUUAU
This 1951-nucleotide long non-coding RNA is filed under the name Sus scrofa (pig). RNAcentral's name for it is "lncRNA (ENSSSCG00000051972.1)". The record is from RNAcentral. Lineage: Eukaryota; Metazoa; Chordata; Mammalia; Artiodactyla; Suidae.